This is a long non-coding RNA of Pan troglodytes (chimpanzee), 3250 nucleotides long. RefSeq lists it as uncharacterized. The transcript has 2 exons. The record is from RefSeq and is a predicted model, not a curated record. NCBI's taxonomy places the organism in Eukaryota, Metazoa, Chordata, Mammalia, Primates, Hominidae.
UGGUGUGGUGUAUGUAUGUGAGGUAUGUGUUUGCUCUAUGUGUGUGGCACUGUAUGUACGUGUGCAGUGUGUGGGGAGUAUGUGUGGUGUGUGUGGUGUGUGGGGAGUAUGUAUGGGGCGUGUGAUGUAUGUGGUGCUGUAUGUGUGUGGUGUAUGUGUAGUAGAUUCAUGUGUGUGGUGUGGGGGUGUGUGCACGUGUGCACAUACUGUGUGGUGUGUGAUGUCUGUGGGGGUGUGUGUGCACAUGGUGUGUACACAGUGUGUGUGGUGUCAGAGGUGUGCAUGUGUGCACAUGGUGUGUGUACAGUGUGUGGGGUGUGUGCAUGUAUACAUGGUGUGGGUGCAGUGUGGUGUUUGUGUGUGGUGUCUGGGGUGUGUGUGCAAGUGCACAUGGUGUGUGUGCAUGGUGUGUGCAUGUAUACAUGGUGUGUGUGCAGUGUGUGGUGUCUGUGGUGUCUAGGGUGUGUGUGCGUGUGCACAUGGUGUGGUGUGUGCAGUGUGUGGUGUCUGUGUGCAGGGUGUGUGUGCAUGUGUACAUGGUGUGUGUGCAGUGUGUGUGUAUACAUGGUGUGCUGUGUACAGUGUGUGUGGUGUCUGGGUGGUGUCUGUGUGGGGUGUGUGCAUGUGUACAUGGUGUGUGUGCAGUGUGUGGUGUGUGUGUACGUGUGCACAUGGUGUGUGGGGGGUGUGUGCAGUGCGUGUGGUGUCUUGGUUGUGUGUGCAGUGUGGUGUCUGAGGGGUGUGUGUGCACGUGCAUGGUGUGUGGUGUGUGUGCAUGUGUACAUGGUGUGUGUGCCGUGUGUGCCGUGUGUGUGGCUUCUGCAUGUGGGGUGUGCAUGUGCACAUGACGUGGUGUGUGCCGUGUGGUGUGUAUGUGGGUGUGUGCGUGUGCACAUGGUGUGUGUGUAGUGUGUCUGCUGUGUGCAGUGUGUGGUGUCUCGGGUGUGCAUGUGCACAUGGCGUGUGUGGUGUGUGUGUGGUGUAUGGGGUGUGUGUGUGCACAUGGUGUGUGUGUGCAGUGUGUGUGGUGUCUGGGGUGCGUGUGUGCACAUGAAGUGGUGUGUGUAGUGUGUGUGAUGUCUGGGUUGUGCAUAUGCACAUGGUGUGUGUGCAGUUUGUGUGGUGUCUGUGUGGGGUGUGUGCAUGUGCACAUGGUGUGUGCACUGUGUGUGGUGUAUGUCUGUCUGGUGUGUGUGUGCACAUGGUGUGUGUGCAUUGUGUUUGUGUGCAGUGUGUGCAUGUGCAUAUGGUGUGUGUGCAGUGUGUGUGGUGUCUGUGGUGUGUGUGUGCACAUGGUGUGUAUGCAGUGUGUGUGGUGUGUGUGGGGUGUGUGCACAUAAUGUGUGUGCAGUGUGUGUGGUGUCUAUAUGUGGUGUGUGUGCAGUGUGUGUGGUGUCUGUAUGGGGUGUAUGCAUGUGCACAUGGUGUGUGUGCAGUAGGUGUGUUUGUGGGGUGUGGGCAGUGGGUGUGAGGGGUGUGUGUGCAUGUGCACAUGGUGUGUGUGCUGUUUGUGUGGUGUCUGUGUGUGGGGUGUGUGUGCAUGUGCACACGGUGUGGUGUGUGCAGUGUGUGUGUUAUGAGUGACUGCUUCUCUUAGCAUGUGGACAUCAGUCUUCCAGACCAGCUUUCUCCAUGUGUCUGGGAACAUAAGAAACAAGUUUCUGCAAUAAUUGUUACACAGCUUUUCCAGUGAGGGACCAAAUCUCUGUCGUGAGUGGGUAUCUGCAUCAUUUCGCAGGAGGGAAUGUGAUGUCCUGGCUUGGCUCACACCCUCUGUGGGUUUAGGCACAGGUUCCUGCUGGAUCCCUCACUGUGGCCAGAGAGGGAGGGCUCUGCUUCACCACAGGGCACCAGAAGAGGACUGGUGCGCGGGAAGACCAGAGAAGUGCAGGUUCACAGCUAAACGGAGCAGAGAGUACAGACUUCUCAUAUGUCCCUUUCCCCACACACAGCCUCCGCACUACAGCUUCCUGCCUCACAGGAGCACACCUGUGACAACCAGGAACCUACCUUGAUCCUUCAUUAUCACUCAAAGCUUACAGUGCACAUUCACGUUUACUCGUCACGUUGUGCGUUCUGAGUCUUGACAAAAGUAUAAUGGCAACAGGAUGUUAUUCACUGCUAACAGGAGAUGAACUAUCAAGCCACAAAAAAAUACAUGGAGGAAACUUAAAUGCAUAUUGCUAAAAUAAGAAGCCAAUCCGAAAAGUCUACGUACUGUUCGAUUCCAAUUAUAUGACGUUCUGGAAACGGUGAAACUAUGGGAUCAGUAGAAAGAUCAGUGAUUGCCAUGGACCAAGGGGAAGGAAGAGAUGGAUACACAGAGCACAGAGAAUCUUCACGGCAGUAAAACCAUUCUGUAUGAUACUAUAAUGGUAGAUAUAUACAUUUGUAAAAAUCUAUCGUAACUUUUAAUCUUUUAAAUUACAUUUUUUUUUUUGAUGGAGUCUUGCUCUGUCGCAAGGCAGGAGUGCAGUGGCAUGAUCUCGGCUUACUGCAACCUCCACCUCCCGGGUUCAAGCGAGUCUCCUGCCUCGGCCUCCCGAGUAGCUGGGACUACAGGUGCCCGCCACUGCGCCUGGCUAAUUUUUGUAUUUUUAGUAGAGACUGCGUUCACCAUCUUGGCCAGGCUGGUCUUGAACUCCUGACCUUGUGAUUCACCUGCCUUGGCCUCCCAAAGUGCUGGGAUUACAGGUGUCAGACACCGCACCUGGCCAUUUUUGUUUUAAGAACUGCAGACAAGCUGGGUGCAGUGGCUCAAGCCUGUAAUGGCUGCAUUUUGGGAGGCUGAAGUGGCUGGAUUGCCUGAGCCCCAGAGUUCAAGACCAGGUGGGCAACAUAGUGAGAUCCCGUCUCUACAAAAAAAGUAUUAAAAAAAUAGCCAGGCAUAGUGCUGCAUGCCUGUAGUCCCAGCUACUCAGGAGGCUGUGGUAGAAAAAUCACUUGACCCAGCAGUUUGAGGCUGCAGUGAGCUAUGAUCAUGCCAUUGCACUCUGGCCUAGGCGACAGAGCGAAACCCCAUCUCAAAACAAAGAACAACCAAAAACCUAGAAGCACACCUCAGAGAUAGUGUGGGUUUGGUUCCAGACAACUGCAGUAAUGCAAAUGUUACAAACAAAAACCUACAAGCACACCUCAGAGAUAGUGUGGGUUUUGUUCCAGACCACUUCAAUAAGGCAAAUGUUACAAUCAAGUUAGUUGCAUAAACAUUUUAUUUCCCAGUGCUUAUAAAAGUUAUGCUUAAACUAUA